Non-coding RNA from Pelobates cultripes (western spadefoot toad), 196 nucleotides. NCBI's taxonomy places the organism in Eukaryota, Metazoa, Chordata, Amphibia, Anura, Pelobatidae. The record is from the annotation of a GenBank genome assembly.
GCAGUUCUCAAAGUAUAUGCCCUCUUACACUUAUAUACUUUUUUUCUUUAUUCUUCUGAUUUUUCUCUCCUUCCUAAUUCUGUCCCCCUGAUUUAAAAUGCAAUUAUACGGUGACAGAAUUAGGAAGGAGAGAAAAAUCAGAAGAAUAAAGAAAAUAAGUAUAUAAGUGUAAGAGGGCAUAUACUUUGAGAACUGC